CCUACGGGACGCACCAGUGGGGAAUAUUGCACAACGGGCGCAAGCCUGAUGCAGCCAUGCCGCGUGUAUGAAGAAGGCCUUAGGGUUGUAAAGUACUUUCAGUUGGGAGGAAGGCGUUGAUGCUAAUAUCAUCAACGAUUGACGUUACCAGCAGAAGAAGCACCGGCUAACUCCGUGCCAGCAGCCGCGGUAAUACGGAGGGUGCAAGCGUUAAUCGGAAUUACUGGGCGUAAAGCGCACGCAGGCGGUUGAUUAAGUUAGAUGUGAAAUCCCCGGGCUUAACCUGGGAAUGGCAUCUAAGACUGGUCAGCUAGAGUCUUGUAGAGGGGGGUAGAAUUCCAUGUGUAGCGGUGAAAUGCGUAGAGAUGUGGAGGAAUACCGGUGGCGAAGGCGGCCCCCUGACGAAGACUGGCGCUCAGGUGCGAAAGCGUGGGGAGCAAACAGGAUUAGAUACCCGUGUAGUC
This 464-nucleotide ribosomal RNA is filed under the name uncultured bacterium. Its description in RNAcentral is "bacterial SSU rRNA". It matches the Rfam family "Bacterial small subunit ribosomal RNA", at positions 338 to 795 of the family's 1533-position model. The record is from RNAcentral.